GAGAUCCAAGAAAAGGAGAAAAAUUGAAGAUCAUGCACUCCCCAUAUUGGAUUCUGGUGUUCUGGGCAAGCGGGUUGGCUGUGAUGGUAACAUUUUAGGUGCAAGUGGACUGGUGGCCCCCUCCAAGAGGUUGGAAGAGAAACAACUAGAUAGCAUCCCGAAUAACAGUCCUGUGGAAGUGGAGGCUGUUGUUUUCAGGGAACGGGGAGGUGGUUCUGGAGACCAUGUUGGUGUAGGUUCAGCAGCAGAAAUUAAUAGAGAGGUCAAAUCCAGGAAGAGGAAGUCGAAAUCCAAGAGGAGGAAAAAAAUUGAAGAUCAUGCUCUCCCCAUGUUGGAUUCUGGUGUUCUGAGCAAGCAGGUAUGCUGUGAUGGUAACAUUGUGGGUGUAAGUGGACUGGUGGCCUCCAAGUGGCCGGAAAAGAAACAACUCGAUGGCAUCCCAAAUAACGGUCUUGAGGAAGUGGAAGCUGGUGUUUUCAGGGAACAGGGAGGUGGUUCUGGUGACCAUUUUGGCGUAGGUGCAACAGUGGAAAUUAAUACACAAAUCAAAUCCAAGAAAAGGAAACCGAGAUCCAAGAAAAGGAGAAGUGAGGAUCAUGCUCUCCCCAUAAUGGAAUCUGGUGUUCUUAGCAAGCAUGUUGGGUGUGAUGGUCAUAUUGUAGAUGCAAGCGGACCAGCUGGCCACCUUCAAUACGGAGAAAAAGAAACUUGAUGGUAUCCUGAAUGAUCUAGGAAGUGGAGGCUGGUGUUGUCUGGAAAGAGGGAGGUGGCUUUGUUGACCACGUCGGUGUAGGCGCAGCAGCAGAAAUUGGUAAAGAAGCCCAAUCCAGGAAGAGGAAAGAGAGAUCCAAGAAAAGGAGGAUUGAAGAUGGUGCCUCUCCCAAAUGGCAUCUAGAAAUUGGAUGGUCUCGUCUUUGUGAGCAGAGAAAGUGAUCCCAUCUAUUACAAUUUUGAGAAUUUGAUAGCUGGAUUGCUUGUUGAAUUAUAGACGUGGCUCUGCACUGUAGGGCAUUGUCAUUACAAAGAAAGUUUGGCAGCAGAAAUGAGGUCUGAUUUUUUUAAAAGCAGAUAAUCUGAGUGGAACCAAAUUUGUGUUGCACUUAAAUGAUGUGGGAAGCCAAAUCUGUAUUCUAAUAUUGCGAGUGUGCCUCCGGGUGCACCUCGAAAGCUUAUAGAUUCAUUUGUUGGAUUCUGGUUUUGCUCUUUAUUAGAAAGAAAACUGGAAAAGAAAACUUUUCAUUUGAAAAGUUUUAAACGCAGUGAACUGAAUGAUUUUCAAGCAAUUCGCAGUUGCAUCAUAUUACGCGCAUGAUUGUAGGCUACAAUUUUCUUUGAAGUCAUUUCUUGUUCUCUCGUCUAUCUUCAUUUAGGGGAAAAAAAAUAAAAAUAAACAGAAAAACUACGUGUGCUGCUCUGUUGUACUAGUUGAUUUAGAGAGAAUUCCAAGUGGAAGCAAAACAGCUUAUUUAGUCUCACCUUCCCCAUCGAGAAAGGAUAAGCAAGCCAACAAUUGUCAGACAUGAAGCAGCUACUACUGAAACGACAAGCACAAAUGCAUACGCAAGAUUUGGAAACCUGAAAUAGUUUUGAAUCUGCUUCAUUCCCCUGUCGAUAAGUGGUGCUAAGGCUGCAGCUCCAGCUACUCGAAACGGCCUGGUGAUGUUUUUCCCAGUCCACAUCAAAAUUACAAUCUGAGGUUUUCAAGAAAACCUUAUUAACUAAUAGCAAAGAAGAUAACUUAUCUUCCUUGCUCUUAGGAGAAAUUUGAAGAUCAUUGCAAAAGCAUACAAUAACAAAUGAAAUGAUGGAUUAGAACUCAGGCAUAUCAAUUAAUCAACAAUUUCUGCAACACUUUUCACCAAAAUGAUAAUAUUAACACCUUCACUAAUAUAUUCAAGUUAAUGGUCUGAGAAGAACACAACCAAGGUUAUAUGUAAUUCUGAAUCGUUACAUUAUAUCCUGCACCAAUCCCUCCUCCCCACCCCGCCCCUCUUCUUAUUCCGUUGUUCCCACAUCAAUGAUUUCUGAUUUAGUAUUGGACCAAACAUACCAAACUAUGCACCAUGCAUUCUUAGAAUUAUAAGUGAAAAGAAUUAAAGGCUUGGAGAUUACCAUUUUCAUCUCGCAGCAAUGAAAUUAAACAGAAUAUUAUAGAAACACAUCAAUGAAAAUUAAGAAUAUUACCCCUAAAAGUGCUUGGAGAUUGGCGGCAGGAUUCUUUCCUGUGCUCUUUUCAUACCCAAGGAAAGCAAGCACAAAGAUAGUGGUAUAGGUGAUGGCAUCAAACAACCCAUACGCAAGUACAGCUGCAAGCCCAAGCUUUGCAAGUUUUGAACUCAUUUCAGCAGAAUUAG
This 2354-nucleotide unclassified non-coding RNA is filed under the name Hevea brasiliensis (rubber tree). Lineage: Eukaryota; Viridiplantae; Streptophyta; Magnoliopsida; Malpighiales; Euphorbiaceae. The record is from RNAcentral.